This 450-nucleotide ribosomal RNA is filed under the name uncultured bacterium. Its description in RNAcentral is "partial 16S ribosomal RNA". It matches the Rfam family "Bacterial small subunit ribosomal RNA", at positions 338 to 795 of the family's 1533-position model. The record is from RNAcentral.
CCUACGGGUGGCUGCAGUGGGGAAUUUUGGACAAUGGGGGCAACCCUGAUCCAGCCAUGCCGCGUGCGGGAAGAAGGCCUUCGGGUUGUAAACCGCUUUUGUCAGGGAAGAAAUCUUCCGAGCUAAUACCUUGGGAGGAUGACGGUACCUGAAGAAUAAGCACCGGCUAACUACGUGCCAGCAGCCGCGGUUAUACGUAGGGUGAAAGCGUUGAUCGGAAUUACUGGGGGUAGUUGUGCAGCACAGGUGUGAAAUCCCCGGGCUUAACCUGGGAACUGCACUUGUGACUGUACGGCUGGAGUACGGCAGAGGGGGAUGGAAUACCGCGUGUAGCAGUGAAAUGCGUAGAUAUGCGGAGGAACACCGAUGGCGAAGGCAGUCCCCUGGGCCUGUACUGACGCUCAUGCACGAAAGCGUGGGGAGCAAACAGGAUUAGAUACCCGUGUAGUC